This 630-nucleotide ribosomal RNA is filed under the name uncultured bacterium. RNAcentral's name for it is "bacterial SSU rRNA". It matches the Rfam family "Bacterial small subunit ribosomal RNA", at positions 57 to 733 of the family's 1533-position model. The record is from RNAcentral.
GCAAGUCGAACGAUCACUUCGGUGGUAGUGGCGCACGGGUGCGUAACGCGUGGGAAUCUGCCCUUGGGUUCGGAAUAACAUCGGGAAACUGAUGCUAAUACCGGAUGAUGACGUAAGUCCAAAGAUUUAUCACCCAGGGAUGAGCCCGCGUAGGAUUAGCUAGUUGGUGGGGUAAAGGCCUACCAAGGCGACGAUCCUUAGCUGGUCUGAGAGGAUGAUCAGCCACACUGGGACUGAGACACGGCCCAGACUCCUACGGGAGGCAGCAGUAGGGAAUAUUGGACAAUGGGGGCAACCCUGAUCCAGCAAUGCCGCGUGAGUGAUGAAGGCCUUAGGGUUGUAAAGCUCUUUUACCAGAGAUGAUAAUGACAGUAUCUGGGGAAUAAGCCCCGGCUAACUCCGUGCCAGCAGCCGCGGUAAUACGGAGGGGGCUAGCGUUGUUCGGAAUUACUGGGCGUAAAGCGCACGUAGGCGGCGAUUUAAGUCAGAGGUGAAAGCCCGGGGCUCAACCCCGGAACUGCCUUUGAGACUGGAUUGCUUGAAUCCGGGAGAGGUGAGUGGAAUUCCGAGUGUAGAGGUGAAAUUCGUAGAUAUUCGGAAGAACACCAGUGGCGAAGGCGGCUCACUGGA